GAUGAACGCUGGCGGCGUGCCUAAUACAUGCAAGUCGAGCGAACGGACGAGAAGCUUGCUCUUCUGAUGUUAGCGGCGGACGGGUGAGUAACACGUGGAUAACCUACCUAUAAGACUGGGAUAACUUCGGGAAACCGGAGCUAAUACCGGAUAAUAUUUUGAACCGCAUGGUUCAAAAGUGAAAGACGGCCUUGCUGUCACUUAUAGAUGGAUCCGCGCUGCAUUAGCUAGUUGGUAAGGUAACGGCUUACCAAGGCAACGAUGCAUAGCCGACCUGAGAGGGUGAUCGGCCACACUGGAACUGAGACACGGUCCAGACUCCUACGGGAGGCAGCAGUAGGGAAUCUUCCGCAAUGGGCGAAAGCCUGACGGAGCAACGCCGCGUGAGUGAUGAAGGUCUUCGGAUCGUAAAACUCUGUUAUUAGGGAAGAACAUAUGUGUAAGUAACUGUGCACAUCUUGACGGUACCUAAUCAGAAAGCCACGGCUAACUACGUG
RNAcentral lists this ribosomal RNA (497 nucleotides) under uncultured bacterium. Its description in RNAcentral is "partial 16S ribosomal RNA". It matches the Rfam family "Bacterial small subunit ribosomal RNA", at positions 28 to 507 of the family's 1533-position model. The record is from RNAcentral.